AGCUCCAAUAGUAUAUAUUAGUGUUGUUGCAGUUAAAGCGCUCGUAGUUGGAUUUUGGCGCUGUUGAAUUGGUCCACCGAAAGGUGUGCACUGGUUUAAUAGAGCUUCCUUCUGAAGAACUUGCAUUCUCUUGAUUGGGUGUGUAAGCUAUUCAGGACUUUUACUUUGAAAAAAUUAGAGUGUUCAAAGCAGGCCUUCGCUUGAAUACAUUAGCAUGGAAUAAUAAAAUAGGACUUUGGUUCUAUUUUGUUGGUUUUCGGAACUGAAGUAAUGAUUAAUAGGGAUAGUUGGGGCCAUCAGUAUUUCUUCGUCAGAGGUGAAAUUCUUGGAUUGAAGAAAGACUAACUUCUGCGAAAGCAUUUGGCAAGGAUGUUUUCAUUAAUCAAGAACGAAAGUACGC
Molecule: ribosomal RNA, 400 nt
Filed under: phytoplankton environmental sample
Lineage: Eukaryota
Description: partial small subunit ribosomal RNA
Rfam family: Eukaryotic small subunit ribosomal RNA
Source: RNAcentral